GACCGUGGCUUGGAGCCCGGGAGGGCUGCGAGCCUACUCAAGCUGCUUUUCUUCUUCCAUCACCUUCUCCUUUCGCUGUGCACGGGCCACGCAGUGGAACUGCAGCGGUGAAAACGACUGAAUUUGGGGCCCUGUAACCUCCUGGCAACCCUGAGGAGCGGCAGCGGAAACACAAGUAAGAAUGGAGGGUGCUCUUCUCCCCAGAAGCUAACAAAGGGUCAGUCUUUCUCUGUGAAAUGGCUGUAGAAUAUAAACGGAGGCUCCUGGCAUUUCCCUACUGGCUCAGUUCAAGAACCACCCACUCCGAGUUGUCUUCCUGGAUUUUCUCAGCCCAAAGUAAUCCUUCUUUUUCUGAGGUACAAAAGAGGUUCAACAGUGAGUAUUGUAGAUGCUGAGCUUCAUCUGUGAACAAAACCUACCAAGUCUCUGACCACAUGGAAUUCAUGAGGUGGACGCAGGGCCACACAGGAACAACUCACAGCAAACUACAGGGACACUCAUGACAUGUCUGUGCCCAGGGAAGUCCACCAAGUCUCCAGGUCUGAGGCAUUUAUGAGACAAAACUCAAGUCUCAAAUGAAAGGAUCCCUGAAGACUUCCUUAUGGAUUUUGUCUCUGGGAACACGUACCUCUUCUUUUGUGGUGUUGGAGAAGACUCUUGAGAGUCCCUUGGACUGCAAGAAGAUCAAAUCAGUCAAUCCUAAAGGAAAUCAACCCUGAAAAUUCAUUGGAAGGACUGAUGCUGAAGCUGAAGCUCAAGCUUCAAUACUUUGGCCACCUGAUGUGAAGAGCCAACUCACUGGAAAAGACCCUGAUGCUGGGAAAGAUUGAAGGCAGGAGGAGAAGGGGACGACAGAAGACGAAAUGGUUGGAUGGCAACACCGACUCAAUAGGCAUGAACUUGGACAAACUCCGGGAGAUAGUGGAGGAUAGAGGAGCCUGGCGUGCUGGGAUCCAUGAGGUCUCAAAGAAUCAGACAUGACUUAGCGAUUGAACAACAACAAUCUCUUCUUCCACCACUUCCUCAACCUCACCCUGAGUGAUCUCCUCCACUCUUUUUUCAGUUUAAAAUGUUUUUAUUUGAUGCAUAUAGUUUUUUUCUUUUUAAAAAAGCAUACCAAAGGCUUAUACAAAAAAAAAAAAGGCUUAUACAAAGUGAUAAGCAGAAGACCCUAUGCCCACCCCUUUCAUGCUUCCCAAAAGCAAUCUCUCUUUGAAGUAUUCCUUAUGGUGUUUACCUCAGUCAUUGAAAAGAAUAUGAUUAUCCCACUGUUUCUUUGUUUUUUUUCCAGUAAAAUAUACAUUGCACAGAUUUACCAUUUCGACUAUUUUAUGUGUACAGUGGCAUUAAGCACAGUUGUGUUGUGGUACAGUCAUCACCACAAGCCAUCUACAGAAGUUUUUCAUUCUC
Bos taurus (domestic cattle) is the source of this 1410-nucleotide long non-coding RNA. The record is from Ensembl. Lineage: Eukaryota; Metazoa; Chordata; Mammalia; Artiodactyla; Bovidae.